AAUGUAAUUCUCUUCAUGUUACAGGAAAAACUGGGAAGACGCCGACAGCGGGAGGAGGGUCCAGCUUCAGCCGCUACAAUUAUUGGUCARUGGGAACAGCUGAUCGAGGUAAAUGUGCUUCCACUUCCCCUUUUGCACAUYAACACGUUUUUUGAAAAAUCCAAAAUCCAAACCUCAAGCAAGCGUAAGAAUGCUUUUUUUUUUUUUUGCGGAAUUGAGGAAGUUUUUGCUAAUUCUGUUGUUUCCAUCCACCUAAUAAGAUACUUCAAAAUACACAUAAAAACAUUGAUAAACAUAGCUAUAGAUUAUCUGUAAAACAGGAUUGCUACUUUGAAAUAUUUGUCAUUCAAGUCUGAAAAAUAAACAAAAAUUAUUCAUCUAUUUCUAAAUAAAGUCAUUGGCGGGCUGGACUGAAGUCACACAUGGGCCAGAGGUGAACAAGCCCUGUUGUAUGAUAUAGACAAAACAGCAAAACAAAUUUUACUAACAAUAGUAUUUGUAAUGAAGUGAAAGAGAUAUCCCAGUCAUCUUUGGGUCAUUCAAAGUUUAAUCGAGUUGAAAACGUUGGACCUUAAUGAGCCACUGGCAGCACCUUUCAUAUUUCUUUUGAUCUAUGUUUUUCUUUUCAUUUCUACAUCAAAAUGUCCCAUUUGUCAGUUUAGAUUAUUACAAUAACUUGGACUAAUAACUGAAAAGUCUGGAUCUAAUAGAUGUAUUCAAUACGUAUCAUUUGUUAGUAACCAUUUCAUUUUAAACUUCAAAUUUGGAAAAAGCAUAGAUGUUGCUGGSGAGAAGGUGAAAAACAAUCUGGUUUUCAUCUUGUAAGGAGUAAAGAUGGACAGAAGAYGAACAGUCAACCUUUAACCAUGUCRACUGAUGCAGAAAAGUACAAGAYGGCUGCAACUAAUAUUCAACCUUAAACACAAAAAUUGGCUACAAAUCAGUCACCUCUGAAGGUAUGGAGCUAAAUUUUGGUGAGGUGGAAGCUGAGAGUUAUCCCCAACACACCUAAACAUGCUGGAUCUGGUUAAAACCUUGGCAUUACCUGUUGGAGUUAACCCUCUCUGUUAGCAGAAURUCUUACAAACCAUGGGACUGAUUUUAAUAAAGMURUCRGAAAAAGAUUGGUGACCAUUUUUCCAGUUAAGAUGAUCUAAGUCUGAAAAUUUGACACAAAAAGAACGCUAUGCUUUUCAUUUUCUCAAGAAUCUCAUKAGAAAAACUAAGGUAACAUCACUCUCUAGUCAAAUGACAAAAUCCAACAACCCUGCGUUGUUGUACAACUUCAGAUGUUUGCAGGAAGGACGAAACAAAACGACACCCGAGGCACGUGAUCGUCUCCUCAAAGCCAGAAACGUUUUUAAUUGUUAGGGGGRAAAAAACUAACAUGUUAAAAACUUCACAGUCCCAAAUGUUUUGUGAAAUGUAGAAACUGUAAUAAAAAGAUGGAGUGAGGCCAAACAUGCAGCAGUGUAAAUGUAUGAGCAGCAAAGACAAAAAACAAACACCACUGCAAACACAUCUAACGGAACCAGGUUUUAUCAGUCAAUUCAGAUCAAUUAUUAUUCCUAAACUGAAAGUUUAGAUUAUUUACAGCACUUUGCAGGACCAGAGAUAAAUCAGCCGAUUUAAACUUUUCCUUUGAUCCAAACAAAACACUUUCAUUUCAAAACGCCACCUCUUCUACUGCUAACAGCUGCGUGACAGUUUCAAAAUGACAGAUAGCUCAAACACAGUUUAUGUGUUUACAAACUGCCUACUUUGGUCUGGAACUGAAAGCUGGCGCCAGAUGUCUUGAUAUGCCAUUUUAAACGUUUGUUUUCAUGCAAAUGUCUAAACCUUACAGGACGCAGAUGUAAAUGUAAAGACAAUUUGAUUAAAGGCAUUUGCAUUGUUUGAACACGGUGAGUAAUGAUGGCAUCGAGUGUGAUGGAGGUUGUUUUCAGGUUUGGGAGUGRGCGAUUGGACGGGCUUAUCAGGAGGACACGAAUGACUGAUGAUGAUUCAGUCAACAGCUUUCCMGAGGGAAGAACCACCCUGUAGUGUCUCAAGGAUCUAUGAAAGGUACUCUGAACUGGCUUUUGGAGUUCCACCUCUGGAUUUCCAGUGGCCCCAUCAUGGCCUCCCAUUAAAAACAUUUCUGUAGGCUCCAAGGAAGGAAUUGAUCAUUUCUCUGUGACCAGCAAACAAGCAGUUUGGCACAUAAAUAAUUAAAGCUUCUUCUCAUCCACUUCAUUGGGCAUUUGAGUGGCUGUGCCGACUUCAAUGUCCAUGCUGCAAGACACCGAGGAGGGGGGCCACCGUUAUUCCAAAAGCUGUACUUCUUCUUAACUUCUCAUUUUUUCCUCCAUUGUGCCUUUUAAUUGCCCCUCGGGGACACAAAGUUUUAUUGUAUUAAAUAUUUAAUACAGAACUGUAUGGACCGCCUUUAUGUUUGACAAUGACUUUAAAUGAAAUAAAUGAAAAAAAAGAGGGUGUAAAUUAUACUUGAUGUCUAUUUAAGAGGAUGAAACUGAAGCGCUGAG
Molecule: long non-coding RNA, 2525 nt
Organism: Austrofundulus limnaeus
Lineage: Eukaryota; Metazoa; Chordata; Actinopteri; Cyprinodontiformes; Rivulidae
Exons: 3
Source: RefSeq, a predicted model, not a curated record